Parus major (Great Tit) is the source of this 3460-nucleotide long non-coding RNA. RefSeq lists it as uncharacterized. The transcript has 6 exons. The record is from RefSeq and is a predicted model, not a curated record. NCBI's taxonomy places the organism in Eukaryota, Metazoa, Chordata, Aves, Passeriformes, Paridae.
UGCCAUGCCCGCUGCCCAGAGCCAUGGGCACAGCUCGAGGUGCAGCUGCUGGGCUGCACAGCCCCAGUGUGGAUGUCCCGGGAGGGCGCUGGCACCAGUCUCCCCGCUGCAGGAAGAGAAUCUAGGUCACAGAUCCUCUCUGAGAACAAGUACAUCUGAUGCUGCCAAGGGAAACAAACUGGCAGGAGAAAGGGGAAUAGACUGGCUUGAAAGCAACAGGAGAAUGGAGAGAAGUAACUCAGUGAUUGAAACAAGGAUACUCUGGGAAAGCUUUGUAGGUGACUGCUAAUUGUCCAAAAAUGGAGUGGCUGGCUGGUGAUUGCAACUGCAGGAAGAAAAGGUGUCUGUGGUUGGGUGUAAAUACUCUCAGUACUAUCACAACAGUGAUAUGUGGGGGAAUCCUUGUCUUCUUCAGGAUCUUAAGCAAUUUUGGAACCCUUGUUACCAAAAGGAAAUAAUCCCAAGAAAGACACUUGUUUCUCUAAUAUGAUCCUGUUUAAUCUCGUCAAGGACAGUAGCACAACAUUCAACUCUCAAAGCCAAAGCCAAGCAAUAAAUUGAACUUUAACCUUUGGCUUUGAAGAACAGGCAUGUGUGGAAAGAAAAAGCUGAUGAAACAUUUCUUGAAGACACUGAUACCAUGCCUGUGGUGGUCCAUGCACUUUCACCUGAGAACUCCUGUUGGAAACCAGCAGCUCUAGUAAAGGAAUGUCUCUCCUUAGUGCUUACAUCAGCUUGUUAUGGUGACAGGUUAGAAAAAGUCUGCUGCAAAAUCCAAGACUUAUAUAAAAGAACUCCAGUUAAAAAAAAGCAUUAGCUAUUCAGCUAAAGGCAGAAAAAAAUACUACAGAAGAAAAAAAAAUCAGUAUUGUUAUUUUAAAGGAAAUACAGAUGAUGAUAUUAGUUUUCCCAGUCUAUGCAUAUAAAGCAAAAAAACCCCAAAGUAAUUUAUUUUGUAUAAAAAAAAAAAAAAAAGUAUGACUGGGAAAGGUCUUUGGAUAAAUCUGUAGGAAUAACAGCAACAUCCAAAGAUGAAAAAAGGGGUUUGUCUUUGUAUAGGAGACAAAAUACUUCACAGACCACAGUGAAGGGAAGGUCAUCUAUCAAAAAACGUCAGCCAAUUUGAACAUUUUACAAGUUGCAACAAGCAGGGACAGGAAGAUACACAGUGAAACGAAAUACCAUAAAACAGCUUCAUCAGCUAAACUUCAAAUGAAACUGAAAAUCAACAACUGGAAGAAAAACAUGUGGAGGGCUCAGAAGAUGUGUGUUCUCACUGCAAAGAAAAUAAAGUCCCCUGACUUCAUAGUGUAACAUGGAAACUUCUCAAAACCAAGCUAUUUGACCAAUAAACAACCCAUAUGGGAUACCUUGGUGGCACCAAAUUCCAACUGGUAAGCUUUUUUUCAUACUAUGUAUCUGUGUAUCUAUGACCCUAAUUAAAGUAAAACUAAUCUAGUCUAAUGGCUGCAUUAUAUGACUAGUAUCUGGGAAGAAGUCUUCUGCUGUUUCCCUAUAGUGUGUGCUAGAAACCUUAAAGCCUAGAAAUGAACUGAGGAAUGGAUCUAGAAAAAUGGAGCUCUGCUUUAUGGCCAUGUGAGAAGCAUAGAUAAAGGGAAAGUGUAAGUGCAGGAAUACAACAUGAGAAUCUAAAGUCCAAACACAUCGGAGGCAGAAGGUAAAUAGCAUGAUUUUGUCUUUAACAACUUAUAUUUCAUUUCAAAGUAACAGGCUUCACUCUGUUUGGUCUAUUUUGAUGCUGACCAGCACCACAGAGGGAAGAAUUGUUUUAUGCCAGGUAUUGAUCUAAUCACCUCUUCCCAUUAUCCUGGUCUGUCAUCAGUAGUGAAACUGCAGCAGUGACAGCUUAUGUCACCUGGGAGGAAGGGACAAAGAAAAUGACAGAGAUCAUGGAAUGACGGUCUCCUGACAUCCUGAAGAUGAUUCCCUAAUCUCCUCAGCAAAGAACUGUAAUAGUUUUAACAAAAACUGUGAAGAAACUACCUAGAAUGUAGCUCAGCCUGAAAAACACCAGACAGAGAAAUUCUGUCUGAAGAAACUGCCUCCUAAGGCCCACGUUAUAGACAAAGUGGACAUUCACCAGUCUGUCCUGGUUUGUAGAUGGGUUUGUCUGUCUGCACAAAGACGAUGCUGUCUGCGUUCCAGAUCAUCACUGAGCGCCGCUCCUCCAGGCGGAUGGUGGUGCCCUUGGCAGAGAAGGAAAUGAAAGCCAGUGGUGCAGAGUGGACAGGAGGAAUCUGUGAAGAAACAGGAAAACAUCAGGAGGUUGUUAGUCUUGAAGUAAUUUGCUCCAGAACCUGUUGAACAGCAAUAUCUGUGGCCUGGGCUCCUGCGUGACACAAUCUCACUUCUACCAACUCCAUCACCUUUCUUGGGCUUUAUCUUAUUACUUAUGCAUACAAAAAAAUACCUCCUGGUUUGUUACUAUGUUACUCUCCUAUGCUUCCUUUUUCCUUUAACAAGUCUUCCUUCUUUCCCUGUCUGUUCCUUUCCUGUGCUCCCUUCUUUAAUUUUCUUGUCCCUGUUUACAUUUCUUUUCCACGGGGACAUAAAUUAAAAUUAACUUACCUUGAACUUGAAGCAUUGUAGACCACUGCUUUCUGUCACGGUUUUAUUAAAAAUAGUGGUAUUAACAGAGCUGUAUUCCAGGAUUGCUCUGACGGACACUGUCUCGUUGAGGUUAAGGAACUGCAGGCAAACCUGACCUGGAGAGUCAUUUUGGAGGACAGCAGGCACUAUCAGGACAUACUGCCUGUGAAAUCCAAACAUCAAAGUGAUCACAUUCAUAGAAGCUUGUGAAGAUUGCUGUAUGGGGAAGUCAGAGAGAAGAAACCUCAUCACCAGGUUUUACAGAGGCCUGCUGGGUCACCUACCUGUUUCAUAGUAAUCAUAUAUAUGUACAGGCACUGGUUUGAUGUCUGAGACAGCCAGGCUUUGCUCCACACCAAAGGAGAAGCUGAUUUCCUUCUGAGAGACCUGGAAAUGGCAAGACAAGAAGAUGCAUCAGAACUUUUCAUAGCUAUCCCUGAGGCUAAGGUUGAGCAGAUUAAUUUCUGAAUCAGACUGUGUGACAAUGUGCCAUUCUGCAUUUCCCUCCAGUUUCUAAACUUGAUGUUAAAAUUGUUAAUUUUAGAUAAUUGUUUAAAGGCUGUUGCUAAAUGUUUUGUUGCUAAAAUUGUGUGCUCUUUUCUUUCUUCCUCUUCCUAUUUCCAUUACCAAUUACCCCAACUUAAAUCCCUGUCAGUGUGGUUUUCAGCACAUCAGCAUUCAUUCUGCAACCAAAAAUUGCUGUUAGUUUCUUUCUUUGCCUUUUCCCAGAUAAAAGCACCUUCAGUACCCUAAUAAUCUUCUCCUUACUUUUCUCCCUUUAAUUACUUUGAUGGCAAUAUCUCCAUUAUCCCCUGUGAUGUUGGAUUGAAUAAAGAACCUCUUUAAGGCA